This 454-nucleotide long non-coding RNA is filed under the name Trifolium pratense (red clover). RNAcentral describes it as "long non-coding RNA (TPRA_LNC004030)". Lineage: Eukaryota; Viridiplantae; Streptophyta; Magnoliopsida; Fabales; Fabaceae. The record is from RNAcentral.
UCCAAUUUGGAGAUGAUUCUGUCGAAAGCAGCGUUGUUGCGAGCGUGCAUUUUCUCCCAUCGAUCCCAUCGAUCUUUUUCGGCGAUGUUCUUCACAUACUCUGCCAUGGUGAGAAUGAAAGCACCAAUGUAAUGAUACUAAAAUUGAAUAGGAAAUAAAGCUAAGAUAGGAAUCAUUCUUGUUGAACUUAGAUUAAAUAGUUGCAAUACAAAAGGAAUUUGAUAUGUGAAAAGAGAGUUUGGGAGAGAAGAAUAACAACUUCACCAAUCAUAUAAAAAUGAGAAAUAACUCCUAGUUCACUAUAUAUACUAUCCAUGUGUGAUAAAAUCCCUUAGUGUGAUAAUUCGCAUCAAGCUUAACAGAAUGACCUUCAUUUGCCUCUUGUGAGACCCUCCACUCCUCAUUUGCUGACUCAUCAGUUUCUAGACCCUUCCCUUUAUUUUGUCUCAUUACA